UUUUGAUUUAGUUUUCAAAGUUUCAAGUUUCAUGGUGUUGGCUCAUGCGGAAGGGGAAAGAUCCAUGGCCGAUGCAAUUUCUGAUGAUGCUUAUGCAUCAGUGUUUGUUAUUACUUUGUAUGAUUUGUUAAAUUCUGUUUGGAUAAGCCGUGACCUAAUUUUGCUGUGGGUUUACGCAGGUUCGAUGAUGAAGCACGAGUUUGCUUGGCCAUAAAAAAGAAAGGAUGGCAAUGAGAGAGAUUUAUCGGCUCUUUGUAGUAUUUUGAUUUUGUUUAUGCUUUGAAUUUCAGGUGACGGUUCGUUUCGAUUUGGGUUUCUCCGAUUACGCUAACGGUUCAUAGGCGCACCUAUUUAAAAUUCGCUUCUAUGUUGUAUAAAUCUUAGACUCCAACUAUAUAGAUUGUUGUGCUGCAAAAGGAGAUAAUGAAGUGUCGGAAGAUGCUGGAGUGUCUCAGGAAGCAGAAUUGUUGUUCUUACGAACAAAAGAGCUAGCAAUAACAAAGAGGGAGUUGUGGGAGCUCAAGAAGGAGAAUCAUCAAAAAAGUUGUGAAUGUCAACAACCUUUGAACUCCUUAAAGGAGGUUCAGAACGAGCUAAUGCGCAAGUCGAUACACGUCGGAUCUUUAGAUUCUGUAUUAAAUGGGAAGUGAAGCUUUUAGAUAUUAAGGGCGGGAAUGCAUGAAUGUAACUUCGAAUCUGCUCAUGUUGUACAUGCUGAGGUUGAUUCCAUGGGAGGUGUUGUGGAUGGCGGAGUUGGUAUAGAUUUGAAAACCUCUCUGCGCUGAGCAACAAUUGAGAAGGCUCAACCA
Vicia villosa (hairy vetch) is the source of this 809-nucleotide long non-coding RNA. RefSeq lists it as uncharacterized. Lineage: Eukaryota; Viridiplantae; Streptophyta; Magnoliopsida; Fabales; Fabaceae. The transcript has 3 exons. The record is from RefSeq and is a predicted model, not a curated record.